UGAGGAAUAUUGCGCAAUGGACGAAAGUCUGACGCAGCGACGCCGCGUGGAGGAUGACGGUUUUCGGAUUGUAAACUCCUGUUAAGUGGGAAGAAAUCCCUGGUUCCAAUACAGCCGGGGGAUGACGGUACCAUUAGAGAAAGCACCGGCUAACUUCGUGCCAGCAGCCGCGGUAAUACGAGGGGUGCGAGCGUUAUUCGGAAUCAUUGGGCGUAAAGGGUGCGUAGGCGGCAAAUUAAGUCAGCUGUUAAAUUUCCUGGCCUAACCAGGAACAUGCGGUCGAUACUGAUAUGCUAGAGGAUGGAAGAGAGAAGUGGAAUUCUCGGAGUAGCGGUAAAAUGCGUAGAUCUCGAGAGGAACACCGAUGGCGAAGGCAGCUUCUUGGUCCAUAUCUGACGCUGAGUGCACGAAAGCGUGGGGAGCAAACAGGAUUAGAUACCCUGGUAGUCCACGCCGUAAACGAUGAUCACUAGACGUUAGUUCUG
Molecule: ribosomal RNA, 485 nt
Filed under: uncultured bacterium
Lineage: Bacteria
Description: bacterial SSU rRNA
Rfam family: Bacterial small subunit ribosomal RNA
Source: RNAcentral